Small nuclear RNA from Oryctolagus cuniculus (rabbit), 157 nucleotides. Its record names the gene U1. It matches the Rfam family "U1 spliceosomal RNA". From Rfam's summary of the family: U1 is a small nuclear RNA (snRNA) component of the spliceosome (involved in pre-mRNA splicing). Lineage: Eukaryota; Metazoa; Chordata; Mammalia; Lagomorpha; Leporidae. The record is from Ensembl.
AUACUUACCUGGCAGGGGAGAAACCAUGAUCACAAAGGUAGUUUUCCCAGAGUGAGGCUUAUCCACUGCACUGUGGUGUGCUGACCCCUGCGAUUGCCCUAAAUGUGGGAAACUCCACUGCAUGAUUUCUGGUGUGGGGCAUUCAUGCUCUCCCUGG